GAUGAAGAACGCAGCGAAAUGCGAUUAGUAGUGUGAAUUGCAGAAUUCAGUGAAUCAUCGAAUCUUUGAACGCACAUUGCGCCCCUUGGUAUUCCAUGGGGCAUGCCUGUUCGAGCGUCAUUUGUACCCUCAAGCUCUGCUUGGUGUUGGGUGUUUGUCUCGCGGUUCUGCGCAGACUCGCCUUAAAACAAUUGGCAGCCGGCUUGUUAGCCUGGAGCGCAGCACAUAUUGCGCCUCUUGCUAGCGACUGCCCGGCACCCAUCAAGCCCAUUUAUUUGCUCUUGACCUCGGAUCAGGUAGGGAUACCCGCUGAACUUAAGCAUAUCAAUAAGCGGAGGA
This 339-nucleotide unclassified non-coding RNA is filed under the name soil metagenome. Its description in RNAcentral is "partial contains 5.8S ribosomal RNA, internal transcribed spacer 2, and large subunit ribosomal RNA". The stretch from base 1 to 120 matches the Rfam family "5.8S ribosomal RNA", at positions 35 to 154 of the family's 154-position model. The record is from RNAcentral.